AAUCCUCCCUUCAGUGUUUGCUGAAGUUAUCUGCAUAAGAAUUAAUUCUUCUCAAAAGAGCCUCAUUUAGGCAAGAGUGGCCCUAAUCUCUAGGGACUGACUUGGCAGUACAGAGGAGCAGCAACAUUAGCCUGAGCAUCAGCAGUGUCCUGAAGACAGGCAGAAAAGAGAAGAUUCCAGUUGUGGCAGAAACUGUAUCUAAUAUUAUUGACUAGAACCUGCCUUCUGUGAGUGCAACGCUCCGCCUGUUGCCUAUGUAUUUCUGUGACUCUCAGGAGCACUGAAACCUACAGAACAUGGGGAACUCGUGUGAUUCAUCCCAUUGGAACUGGGUGGACAGGAACAAGCCCUGCACUUAAUAUUGCUCUCUGUGGGACAGGACUGUAACCAUCCAGUCAUGUGAAUUUUCAGCCCACCCAGCUUGACUGAGUGUAAGAAUUUGUCUGGAGGCAUCC
This 455-nucleotide long non-coding RNA is filed under the name Dromaius novaehollandiae (emu). RNAcentral's name for it is "lncRNA (ENSDNVG00000012704.1)". The record is from RNAcentral. Lineage: Eukaryota; Metazoa; Chordata; Aves; Casuariiformes; Dromaiidae.